This 188-nucleotide unclassified non-coding RNA is filed under the name uncultured Metarhizium. RNAcentral describes it as "sequence contains ITS2". The record is from RNAcentral. Lineage: Eukaryota; Fungi; Ascomycota; Sordariomycetes; Hypocreales; Clavicipitaceae.
CAACCCUCAAGACACCUAGUUGGUGGCUUGGUGUUGGGGACCGGCGAUGGCCCUGCGAUGGCAGGCGCGCCGCCGGCCCCGAAAUGAAUUGGCGGUCUCGUCGCGACCUCCUCUGCGUAGUAGCACAACCUCGCAACAGGAGCGCGGCGCGGCCACCGCCGUAAAACGCCCCCAACUUCUCUCAAGAG